ACGUAUGGUGCAAGCGUUAUCCGGAUUUACUGGGUGUAAAGGGAGCGCAGGCGGUACGGCAAGUCUGAUGUGAAAUCCCGGGGCUCAACCCCGGUACUGCAUUGGAAACUGUCGGACUAGAGUGUCGGAGGGGUAAGUGGAAUUCCUAGUGUAGCGGUGAAAUGCGUAGAUAUUAGGAGGAACACCAGUGGCGAAGGCGGCUUACUGGACGAUUACUGACGCUGAGGCUCGAAAGCGUGGGGAGCAAACAG
Molecule: ribosomal RNA, 251 nt
Filed under: uncultured bacterium
Lineage: Bacteria
Description: partial 16S ribosomal RNA
Rfam family: Bacterial small subunit ribosomal RNA
Source: RNAcentral